GUGGGGAAUAUUCCGCAAUGGACGAAAGUCUGACGGAGCAACGCCGCGUGAGUGAUGAAGGUUUUCGGACUGUAAAGCUCUGUUGUUUAGGACGAAAGUGCCUGUUGCAAAUAGUUACAGGUAUUGACGGUACUGAACGAGGAAGCCACGGCUAACUACGUGCCAGCAGCCGCGGUAAUACGUAGGUGGCAAGCGUUGUCCGGAAAUAUUGGGCGUAAAGAGCAUGUAGGCGGGAAUCUAAGUCUGUUGUGAAAAUGCGGGGCUCAACCCCGUAUUGCGAUGGAAACUGGGUUUCUUGAGUGCAGGAGAGGAAAGGGGAAUUCCCAGUGUAGCGGUGAAAUGCGUAGAUAUUGGGAGGAACACCAGUGGCGAAGGCGCCUUUCUGGACUGUGUCUGACGCUGAGAUGCGAAAGCCAGGGUAGCGAACGGGAUUAGAUACCCGAGUAGUCC
This 450-nucleotide ribosomal RNA is filed under the name uncultured bacterium. Its description in RNAcentral is "partial 16S ribosomal RNA". It matches the Rfam family "Bacterial small subunit ribosomal RNA", at positions 354 to 796 of the family's 1533-position model. The record is from RNAcentral.